Long non-coding RNA from Globicephala melas (long-finned pilot whale), 8780 nucleotides. RefSeq lists it as uncharacterized. NCBI's taxonomy places the organism in Eukaryota, Metazoa, Chordata, Mammalia, Artiodactyla, Delphinidae. The record is from RefSeq and is a predicted model, not a curated record.
CCAGCAGCCCCGCCGCCCCGGCCCCGCGCAUCUCAGGGGCCAGGCCGCCAGCAGCCCCACGGGGCCCGGGCAUCCGGGGCCGCAGAACCCGGGGGGCGCGCCCGGGCAGGGGCGAUGGUCCCGGCGCCCGAGGGGAAUAGCAAGCCGGGAGCCCCGGGAGAGGAGUAGAGAGGGCAGCGAGGGAGAGGAUGGGAGGAAGCGCGCGGGGAGGGGACAGCAGGCGCGGGCGCGGGCCCAGUGAGAGGCAAAGAGAUGGAGGCUGGACUGCGGGGAGCCCAGAAACUUCCACCGCCCCGGGAAGGAGCCCAGCCACGAGACGGGGCCGAGGGCCUGCGGAGGCCCCAACCUGAGGCCGGAGCGAGGAGGCCGGAGCAAGUUGAAGCGGAGAGGAGGAGCGAGGGGAGAGGAAGGCCGGGCGGCCGGCCCGCUCCGCGCCUCCCCCGGCCGGGCUGGGCUCCCGCGGCCGCCGGGAAGCAGGGAGCGCGCGGGGCGGACUCAGGGAGAAGUGAGCAGUUGUUUUCCCUGGCUGGAGCACGGCGCGGCGGCGGCGAGGGGGGCUGGGAUGCUGGCCCCGAGCCAGGGAGACAGUUUUUUUCUGUUUAAAGCGUCGUCGCUGCCGCCUGGGGGAGCGAGGGUGUGCGGGCGGGUGGAGGCUGGGGGGCGGUCCCCGCCCCAGAUGCCCGCCCCGCCGGAACCCGCCGCCGCCGCCGCCGCGCUGGGCCCGCUCCAGAGAGCCCUCACCUGGGACCGCUGGCCGCCCCGCCGGAUUCCUCCGGGCGGGGCUGGAAGGCCCGCGCCCACCUCCGCCCGGCAGCAUCAAAGUGGGAAACCGAGGCUGGGGUAGGAAGAUGGGCCUUGCCCCAGGGUCGCGCGGAUAGUGGGAGCAGGUGGGGCUGGAACCCACGCCCCUCAGCCCUGGCGCAGCCUCCCUUGCACAUGUGGGGGUCUCACCACCCCGAAGUCACUUCUUAUUAGUACUGGUCCACUCCCCCUGGAGGAGAGGACUCGAGGAGGGGGCACCCCUUAGCCAGGGCCCCAGCGGGGUCCCAGGAAGAAGCCCGCGGGGUCCAGAAAAGGAGCAGAUGGAACAAAGCUUGAAAUCCAGGUCCCCUGCCAACCCCCCUCUAAAUGGCUUCCUGAUGCCCACCCCGCCCCCGCCCCUUCGCCUUGUCUGGCUGGGCUGGCGGGGCUGGCUCUGGGCCUCAGACACUCUGGAAUCGCCAAGGUCUGAGCUCAGGGCCUGGCCCCCUUCCCAGGCUAACAGCCGGGAGGAGGGGGGUGAUGCUUGAGGGCCCCAGGGCUGGGGAGGGGCACAGCAGGGCCCCAGGGCAGGGGUUGGCAGGGGCUGGCGGGGGGCCUUGAGUUUGGUCAGGGCUGGAGAGGAGCCAGGCCUGUCCGCUAGUCUGGAAGGGAGGCCCUUGAGGGCUGCAGUGCCCUGGGGCCCAGGCCAUAUCCCGGGCACCUAGCCAGGAGACCCCAGGAUUCAGUCUCUGACUCACAGAAUUCAGCAGGGGGUGGGUGUGACCAGGGCACAACCAGAGUGGGACACAGCCAAGUCAGGGUGACACUCUCUCUCCGAGGGGAACGGGGGCUGCAGGCUGACUGAGGGAAAGGGGGUUCAGGGACUUGCCUCCAGGCACACUCGUGCAAGGAACUCAUGGUUUUCACUUUGAGGGUGGGCUCAUUUGGGGGAACUGAGGGAGACUCUUUGGUGGACCCCUGCCCGAAUUGCUCAGUGGGCUCAGGCCCUGUUCACAUAGACAGGUAUUGCAGAGGUAGGAUGGGGGCAAUCCCAUGUCCCCAGGGGGGCUAGGAGGGUGUGUAAGGGCUGCCCACACACUCCCUCGGGGCUCUGGUCCCACACUGAGGCAGGGAGUAGUACUGAGUGCUCACCACUUGCCACGUGUAGGGCUGAGCAUUUUCUAGUCAUUUUUCCCCCAUACUCAUCUGAACUUGGCCCUUGGAACACAGCAUAAACAGACCAGGGUUAGAGUCCUAAUCUCUCUGAGUCUCAGUUUUCUCACCUGUGAAAUGGGGAUCUAUUCACUCAACAGACUAGGAACCUCCCGCGUGCUCCUGCUAACAAGUAGGACGAAUCUUUGCCCUGCCGGAGCUUCUGUACUAGAGGAGACAGACAUCUGACGUGGCUGAGGCUGGAACAGAGACGACUAAGGAGCUGGGAACAAGAGAGGGAGGUACAACCUUGCCUCCAGAGCCUAGUACAGGGCCUGGCAGGCAGAGGGUGCUGAAGUUGGCUGAUUGACUGAAUGGACUGAGACCACGGAACUCUGAAAGACGGAACAAUUAGACUUGCAUCAUCUGGCCUCCUUUCCUCAUUUUUAGACAACGAAGCAAAGGAGCUGACAUUCAUGAAGCCUUGUUGGAUGCUGGGCACAUGGCAAGUCCUCAGGUGUUGUAGGUUCUAAAGAUGAUGGUUGGAAGUUUCAGAAGCCUGGAGGGGACCAUUCUGCCCUGAAGCAUUUCUCUCCAAAGACACUUUACUGAAAGUGACUGUCACUGAGCCCCUCUGAUGUGCCCCUGCUGUGAUGAAGGGCACUGAGAGAUGGGAUUGGAAAACGCAAUGAACCAGUCUUCAUGCUUGAUCAGUCAGAGAGGAUCUUCAGCCCUGCCCCUCGUCUCCACCUUCCGAACCCAGGAAAAGUCCACGGGUGAGAAUCCAGCUCUGGACGUGCGCUGACCAGAUGGGGUCACAGCCCUGCCACAUCCCAGCAGGGUGACUGUGACUAAAUCUCUUAACCUGUCCAGGCUUCAGCUUCUCCAUCUGCACAUUGGGAGACAUAACUCACACUGGUCCUGAGGAUUAAAGGAGAUAAUUCAAGCUCUUAGUAUAGUGCCCGGCCCCAAGAAAAAAUACACCAAAAGUUGAGUAUUAUUAUUUUUUUGUUGCUGUUUCUUUUUUUCUUUUUUUUUUGGCGGUACGCGGGCCUCUCACUGUUGUGGCCUCUCCCGUUGCGGAGCAACAGGCUCCGGACGCGCAGGCUCAGCGGCCAUGGCUCACGGGCACAGCCGCUCCGCGGCAUGUGGGAUCUUCCCGGACCGGGGCACGAACCCGUGUCCCCUGCACCGGCAGGCAGACUCUCAACCACUGCGCCACCAGGGAAGCCCGAGUAUUAUUAUUUUUGCUACUGUAUCAUCUAGUCCUUUCUUGUUUCCCAGAAACGUCAGGUCAAUUCACAUUGCAGUGAAAGACAAGAAGAAAAGUCGACCCCUUCUGGAGGCCUGUUGCCGUGAUGAUAAAAUAAUGCCAGUUACGAUUUUCAGAGCCUCGGCUACACAGCAUAGGCCACUCGUUGUCAUGCGAACCUGAUUCACCAGAUGAGGCAGUCAAGUGGGACCUGUAACUGAGCUGUGUGUGAAUAUGCUGCCGUGGGGUGUGCUGUUACUCAGGGACAGGCCUAACUACUGCCACAUCCACUGUGCCACAGGUCCCGUGGGGGUGGCACCAAUGACCUAGAAUAGACUCCUGCACACAGUGGACUGUGGUAUGGGAGAGGAUGCUAAACUCAAGAACGCAAGUCUUUUCUAAUGACUGCCCUUUGCACUGGCGGGAGAUUCUGUCUCGAUCUUCCAUGGCUAUUCACUGUACCAAUAUCCUUGAGAAGAGAGUCCAGGACAAAGGCAGUCAGUUGCCUCGCUUGCAAAAUGCGCAGAAACUCAAGAGAUCCCUGGAGAAUUGUCUUACAGUAAUAUCCACCCCUCAUUUCUACACUAUCUUGGCUUUGGGCGAAUUUUCCCAUGAGUUCACCACUCUGUUGGCAAAUCUGAUCGACAGAGGCUAGGACCAAAUCUGUUCAAUUUGUGUCAUACAGCAUUUAAUUAAAGCUACUACCAACAGAACUACAAGCAGCAGGAUGAAGCCAACUUGCAGUACUGACCUCAACUAUGCCUCCCAGAUGAACAAAUCCAUAGAGCAUCAUACCUACCUUAGAAAGCCAGGUGGCUCGCUCCUUAGUUCUCUGCAUCAACCUUUCCACCUUGGCCCAGAAGGCAUUCAGGAGAGCCUCAAUUCACUGACCAAGGUUCCUAUGGAUGGUGGAUUUCUCCUGUACUUCUCCUUGCAGACUAGAGUCUGUGCAAUCAAUAUAUCUGCUGUACCUGGAUUAAUGCUUCCAGCCAUGAGUAAGAAGGUCCUUUUUCUCUGACCCAGGAGUCUCCUAUCUUCUGCCAGCAUGCAUGAACCUGUGGCAGGCUCAUGUGUUAGUUUGCAAGUAGGCUAAAGUCAAGGAUAAAUUUCAAGUCACUCUGUUUUCUAGAGAGAGACAAGUUAAUGUGUGACUUCCACGUCAAUCAUGCAGUCUCAAGGGUACUAGUGGUGUUUCUGGGAAAAAACAUGGCGCCCCCAAGUGGGACUUACAUCAGCUAGAGGGGGCCCAGGUUGACAGUGCCUCCCUUCAAGUCCAUAGGCCUUAGAGCUUCCAGCCCAAUCCAAAUAAUUAAGUCUAGUCCUUGUUUUUGGAGGGCUUGGCUAAGGGCAGUUAGUCCUGUUUGCCCAUGCCACCAGCCAGAUGCCAUUCAUCUACUCCAUGGCAUGACUGAGUGGUGAUAGCUUCAGGAUUGGGCCUGGGAUCUGUAUCUGGAGGUGAUGUUGUUGACAGGUAUUUUAUGUAGGAGGUACAGGAGCUGAGGCUACCCGCUGCUGCUUCCAAUCCCUUGGUAAGGUUAAGCAGAAUGGCAAUGAAACCCAGGUCAGAACUGUCUAGUGGAGCAUGGCAGACUCAGCAGUCAGUUAAAUUUAAGUCACUUGAAAUAGUUUGGGCGAGUUGGACCAAGAUGUUGUCCUCAGUGAAGAAGGCUCCAAGUGGUUUGGAAAGACAAAGACUAUAAGUGUCUUUCUUUCCCCCAUUUCUCCCAGGGUCUGAGGUGUCCCCUCCCCAAGUGCCAAGGUUGUUAUUCUCCCUCCAGUGUCACAAAAUCGAUGUGUUCUAUUCUAUAGUUAGAACUUCACCUUUUUUCCAAUUACCUCCUACUUACACUUUUCAUCUGGAAGGGUCAGGUGCAAGAAGGACAAGGACAUUUUUAUAAAACAUACAGGAGCCCACUAUGUCCCCCACUCUACGUGUAGGCCACUGUUCGGGGACUCAGAGAGAGAGGUGUGCGUGCCAAGCGCUCCAGGUAUUCUCAUGAUCUAGGACCGUGUCAGUCAAAUAAGAGAAUCCAGGUGGUUGAGAAUCCCCUAGGCCCCUUUCUGACUGGGCUGUCUCCCGGAGUUGCACCAAUCAGGCUGACCUGGGGUUGCUGUUAAGGGAAAGAGAGAAGCAUUAUGUCCAGGAAUGGGGAACGUGGAACCCUAAAUUUUCAAAACUGGUCUAUAUAAACCCCACCCCUCUCAUCUCAAUCAUUAUGAAGGACAUGGCCUAGAUGAGAUGGUCCCAUCCUGGGGACAGCCACAUUCAGUUAUUGAACUGCUGUACUAAGGUGUGUGGACCAGGAGGGAGAGCCAGAAAUCUCUUUGAGCUAAUUUUUGAGGAGCUAUUUCAGUGCUCAACAGUACCACAUGCUUGUGGAUGACAGGGAGGAUAGAAGGAUCACCAAAUACCUAGACUAUCAGCUCAUUGUUGAGUGGCCUGAGAUGAAAGGUGCACCAUUGUUAGACUUCAAUUGGUCCAGAAAGCCAAAAACAUUACACAGAUUCGUCUCAAGAACCACAAUGGGGUGACCAAAGUUGGCUGAUUGGCCUGAAACAGUACCACUGUAACCUGAAAAAGUGUGAGACACCAUCCAUAGCCCCAGGAAGGAGUCAAAGGUCCCAUGCAUUCAAUCUCUCAGGAGUGGGCAGGGGCAAUGCCAUAUACACUGUAGCCUCCUCUUCACAGAACAAACAGCUGAACUUUUGACCGGGAUCACAAAUUUGGCAUGGAGUGGUGGCUUCUGCAUCAGCAGCAUAGAGUCCUUCACUUUGUGCCCACUCCGUGAUGGUGCACGUGUUGCCAUAUCUGGUAUCAUGAUGGGUCCAGGCAGAAAUGGAGACAAUCUGGGCAGUGCAGGCUCGAACAACAGCUUGAUUCAUGUCAGUCUCAUCAGAGAAUGGGCCUUUAGCAUGGGCAUCUGCAUAAGUGAUCUAGAGAGUUUGAUCAGCCACGAUUUGUUUCCACAGUUAGCUGAGAACAUUGCCGUCCAAAGCCCUCUAUUAGGCGGCAGGGCCCUGACAUUAUCUAUCUCACAUUUGGGGACUCCUUGACUCAGCAACCACAGCAACAUUGCUUUCCAGCUGGAGCGGCAAGGUUCACACCCUUUGGCUGACCUGGGCUUGAGUUGGUCAGUCUUGCUAAUGGUUUGGCAAUUUUGUUGAUCUUCUAAAGAACUAACUUGUAGGUGAGUUGAUUUUCUCUAAUCUAUUCUAGUCUUCCUUCUGCUUGCUUUGGGUUUAGUUUGCUCUUUUUUCUAGUUUCUUAAGGUGGAAGAUUAGGUUACUGAAUUGAGACUUUUUUUUUCUUUUAAAUAUAAGAAUAUACAACUAUAAAUUGCCCUCUAAGCACUGCUUUGGCUGUAUCUCACAAGUUUUGUUAUGCUGUGUUUUCAUUAAUCUCCAAGCAGCUUCUAAUUUCCCAUGUGUUUUCUUCUAUGACCCAUUAGUUAUUUAAGAGGGUGUUGUCUAAUUUCCACAUAUUUGUGAAUUUCCCAAAUUUCCUUCUUUUACUGAUUGCUAAUUUCAUUCCACUGUGAUCUGAGAAGAUACUUUGUAUUAUUUCAACCCUUUUAAGUGUGUUGAGACUUGCUUUAUGGUCUAACAUAUGGUUAGACCAUGUAUAUUUGAGAAGACCAUGUAUAUUUGAGAAGAAUAUGACCUGCUGUUGUUGGGUGGAGCGUUCUAUAGAUGUCUGUCAGGACUUGGGCUUGACUUGCACAGCCGUGACUUUUAUUAAAAGGAGACUACCUUGAUAGAGGGUAUUUCUGUCCCCCUGUCAUAAUAAUGUCUCAUUUUUGCCUUGUUUUAAUAGAAGGGCUAGGAGAGUUUUCUAGGGCAGUGGAGCUGAUCACAAGAAUUUAUCUAGAUUUCUUUGGGGCACCUGUAGCAGUACUGUAAACCUGAAGUAAGACAAUAGGAGCCCAAAGAGUAAUAAAUGCCUCAUCUAUGGUUUCCUAUGGGAGUUUGUCUCAAGGAAAUUUCCCGGAAGAGGGACAAAACUCCCUUAUAGCAGCGAAGACCCAUUAGGGGGGAAAAGCUGAGACCUUUUACUGUCAUCUCAGAAUACAUAUAAGAUUCGCAUGAUAGCCUGUAGAAAGGGCUGAGCUGUAAGAUGACCCAGCUGUUGCCAUUCUUCCUUACCAAGCAUCACAUGCCCUGCCCCUCCUCUCCCAAGUGAGCCAGCAAAGUUCUAAUGAUUCAUCUAUUUUCUUGUCCAUAGCAGUAAUGAAUUUCCCUCCAUUCAUGUUUAAUAUGUGUGUGCAUCUCUGUAAAUGCUGCCUGAAAGGAGGUGGAAACUUCUGUACUCCCAGGAUGAGUCUUUUUUUUUUCUUUUUUUGGCUGCAUUGGGCCUUUGUUGCUGCACGUCAGGAUGAGUCAUUGGUUGUUACAAUGGGGCAGACCUGGACUGUGAGGCGCUACCUUUCCACUCCCAAACCCCACCCAGAAGAGAGUAGUUGUCAUGAGGAAUAAAUGAAAGGGAGUAAAUGGGAGGAUGAGUGUAAGGAUCUUAGUUGGUGUCAGACAGGAUAAGCUGCUGAGUGGAUAUGGGCCAUUAUGAUGACACAGAAGGGUGCAUCGAGAAAUUCGGUGGGGGGUGGGGCGUGCUGGGAGCUGAAGAUAGUAAGGACUCGAAGGGUCUGUGCAUAUAGGCUAGAGGCCAAGAGUGCCUAGUCAUUUUGGCAGAACUGACCUGGUGUCAGGCCCUGAGUCAGGUACACUGCUGCCCAAGAGGCUGCUGGUAGAUGGACAGAGUGACGUGGGGCACAGGGCUCUCCAAGGAAGCAGGAGGCAGGAAGAGUCAGAAAAUGUAAGUUCCAGGGAGUCUAUGUAGGAGGAAGAUGGGGCCAGGAGGAGGGUACUCUAUCUUCAGGUAAAACUGAAAGCAUGUGCUGCCAGUCAGAGAAGGAGAUUGCCGAUGAGAUUACGGGAGUCUAAGUCCUAGCUCCUUCUCAACUGACCUGGUGUACUGCCUUGAGGCACUGCAGGCUGCACAUCUGGGGACUGCUGCCUGCUCCACCUGGCUUCUUCAAACCUACUAAAGGAGAGGAGGUGUAUGGAAAAAGAACAAAGAGGAAAAAAAAAAACCACCAAGGCCAAUGGUCAGGGAGCACUAGUAAUUUUAACAGCAACGCACUCAAGAAGAGCAUAACGGUCACAGGCAUGUGUAAUAAACCCCUCAUCCCCACCCUCCAGCAUGUAUCAGUUGCGGCUGGAACCGAAACUGCGCAUGCCCAGCACAGCGAUUUCCACCCCCACCCGCGGUCAGCUGGCUUUUCGAGGGUUCAAACUUCAACAAAACAAAAUGUCUUCUUAAGGGCUGACUUUGAAUCAGUCCCAGGCCUUUGGGUGGGGAAGAUAGGGAGUGGGCAGACUGUAACACCGAACGUGCAGAAGGGGAGGGGUCUUGAAAUAAGCUGAAAGGCAGCGAGAACGAUCGCCGCCUGGCCUGCCUUGCCAGUUGAAGUGAGAAGGGAAGGACUGAGGCCCGAGGAGGCUCCACGCAUGCAUAAGGGGCCGUUUGUUAUCAAGGGUGUUGUGAUGUUGCCACUGCCCCGGGUCCUGCCAGUGCGGAAAGGGAAACUCCAGGGGAGGCGGAGGCCAGCGGAGAUUUCUCAAGCCAACCGGUCCCCUC